Sparus aurata (gilthead seabream) is the source of this 1286-nucleotide long non-coding RNA. Lineage: Eukaryota; Metazoa; Chordata; Actinopteri; Spariformes; Sparidae. The record is from Ensembl.
UCAGUGCCAACGGCUGUCUGGAGACUGAGCGUUCGUUUUCUGCCGUUACAGUUGCUAACCUAGCUAACCUAGCUAACCCAACGUUAGCCACCAGACUCCACUGACAAAACAGUAAUUUAACCUCUCAGAAUCCAGGAGCUGCGUCGAUCUAUGCUCCAAAGCUUCCCUCUGUGUCAGUGAGUCCUUCUGCUGAGAUAGUGGAGGGCAGUUCAGUGACUCUGACCGGUAGCAGUGAUGCUAACCCAGCAGCUACUUGUACCUGGUACAAGAGCAAUGGAGAUGGAGUGACUUACAGCUCUACUGAGAUCUGUGCCUUAAAAGGAUCAACAGUGGACAUUAGCUGCAGCUACAGAUACCCAUCCUCUGUAAAGAGAGCUGAGAACAGAUUUUGGUUCAGGACAGUGCAGAAUGAGAAUUAUGUGGAUCUGAAAAAUGAAGCGAGGUAUUUAAGUUGUGUGCAGUAUAACUGUGGUAACAACGACUGCACUCUGAGAAUCACAGACCUGAGAGAGAGCGACUCGGCUGAACAGAUGAAACACACACUGUCAUUUGUAGAACAUUAUUUGUUCAAACUAAGAAAUGGUAAGAAAAGAGUGUCUAUUCCACUUCUCAAAAUGUACAUCAGCUUUCACAGUGAAUGAUGAAAUUGAUAUUCAACAAAGUCUUUGCUGAGAUUAAAAUCUUUACUGACUGUUCUUUUGUUUUUGCUGCUUGCAUUUAACCCAUCACUAUUAUUCAGUAACAUUUAUUGGUAAUUCCAAAUGUAUGAGGAUUGCCCAGUGAUAUUUUAAUAUUUAAAUCUAUCUAAUCUAUUUUAACUGAAAUUGUAUUUUGGUGCAUGUGUUGCUAAUAUAUUUUAAUUACUGUGUGCAUGGUACUUAGCCUUGUUAAAAUCACAUAUUAAAUUAUACAACUUUUUUGCAGAAUCAGUUUUUGUUGGAUAUUUUUCCUUCUGGUAAAAAUCUUUAUUUUGGGGAAUUGAAGCUUUUAAGUGUCAGUUUAAAGUGGAGCAGUUCUCACCAAGAAAGUUGUGUAAAAGCUGAAUUGAUGCACUCAUUGACUCUAUUUCAGCAGCUGUUAUGUGAUUUUGCCUGGUUUAUCACUGUAAUAUUUUAUAUCUUGUAAUGUAACCUACGAUUCAUGUUGUGUUUUGUAUUGUUUUUAUAUGGUGCAACUACUUUUUGAUGUUCAAUACAGUCAAUUUGAAACCAUCUUUGUCUUUUUUUCUUCAAUCUGCAAUAGGUUGGUAGUGGAAAAGGACUGACUGUAUGUUAUUUAGGUUUUAA